This 195-nucleotide ribosomal RNA is filed under the name Salmonella enterica subsp. enterica serovar Infantis. RNAcentral describes it as "partial 16S ribosomal RNA". It matches the Rfam family "Bacterial small subunit ribosomal RNA", at positions 1349 to 1533 of the family's 1533-position model. The record is from RNAcentral. Lineage: Bacteria; Pseudomonadati; Pseudomonadota; Gammaproteobacteria; Enterobacterales; Enterobacteriaceae. RNAcentral also lists the same sequence under 2 other names.
UCAGAAUGCCACGGUGAAUACGUUCCCGGGCCUUGUACACACCGCCCGUCACACCAUGGGAGUGGGUUGCAAAAGAAGUAGGUAGCUUAACCUUCGGGAGGGCGCUUACCACUUUGUGAUUCAUGACUGGGGUGAAGUCGUAACAAGGUAACCGUAGGGGAACCUGCGGUUGGAUCACCUCCUUACCUUAAAGAA